Molecule: ribosomal RNA, 462 nt
Filed under: Gephyromantis horridus
Lineage: Eukaryota; Metazoa; Chordata; Amphibia; Anura; Mantellidae
Description: partial 12S ribosomal RNA
Rfam family: Bacterial small subunit ribosomal RNA
Source: RNAcentral
CGCCUGGGGAUUACGAGCGCAAGCUUAAAACCCAAAGGACUUGACGGUGUCCCACCCACCUAGAGGAGCCUGUUCUAUAAUCGAUGAUCCACGAUACACCUUACCAUUUUUUGCCUUUUCCAGCCUGUAUACCUCCGUCGACAGCUUACCAUCUGAAUGCACAAAGUAAGCCCAAUGGUCUAUACACCAGCACGUCAGGUCAAGGUGCAGCCUAUAAAAUGGGAAGCAAUGGGCUACAAUUUCUAUCUUAGAACAAACGAAAAACUACAUGAAACAUCGUCAUGAAGGCGGAUUUAGUAGUAAGAGAAGAAUAGUAAACUUCUUUUAAUAAGGCUCUGGGACGUGUACAAACCGCCCGUCACCCUCUUCAACAGCACCCAAUUUAGUCACUAACACCUAACCAGCACCUCAGAAGAGGCAAGUCGUAACACGGUAAGUGUACUGGAAAGUGCACUUGGUUAA